CGCCUGGGGAGUACGGUCGCAAGAUUAAAACUCAAAGGAAUUGACGGGGACCCGCACAAGCGGUGGAUGAUGUGGAUUAAUUCGAUGCAACGCGAAGAACCUUACCUGGUCUUGACAUGUACGGAAUCCUCCAGAGACGGAGGAGUGCCUUCGGGAGCCGUAACACAGGUGCUGCAUGGCUGUCGUCAGCUCGUGUCGUGAGAUGUUGGGUUAAGUCCCGCAACGAGCGCAACCCUUGUCAUUAGUUGCCAUCAUUCAGUUGGGCACUCUAAUGAGACUGCCGGUGACAAGCCGGAGGAAGGUGGGGAUGACGUCAAGUCCUCAUGGCCCUUAUGACCAGGGCUUCACACGUCAUACAAUGGUCGGUACAGAGGGUAGCCAAGCCGCGAGGCGGAGCCAAUCUCACAAAACCGAUCGUAGUCCGGAUUGCACUCUGCAACUCGAGUGCAUGAAGUCGGAAUCGCUAGUAAUCGCAGGUCAGCAUACUGCGGUGAAUACGUUCCCGGGUCUUGUACACACCGCCCGUCACACCAUGGGAGUGGGGGAUACCAGAAGUAGGUAGGGUAACCGCAAGGAGUCCGCUUACCACGGUAUGCUUCAUGACUGGGGUGAAGUCGUAACAAGGUAGCCGUAGGGGAACCUGCGGCUGGAUCACCUCCUUUCUAGA
RNAcentral lists this ribosomal RNA (667 nucleotides) under Neisseria meningitidis. RNAcentral's name for it is "bacterial SSU rRNA". It matches the Rfam family "Bacterial small subunit ribosomal RNA", at positions 870 to 1533 of the family's 1533-position model. Lineage: Bacteria; Pseudomonadati; Pseudomonadota; Betaproteobacteria; Neisseriales; Neisseriaceae. The record is from RNAcentral.